GCUUACACAUGCAAGUCGAGGGGUAGGGCACCUUCGGUGCCUUGAGACCGGCGCACGGGUGCGUAACGCGUAUGCAAUCUGCCUUCCACAGAGGGAUAGCCCAGAGAAAUUUGGAUUAAUACCUCAUAGCAUCAUGACCCGGCAUCGGGAUAUGAUUAAAGUCACAACGGUGGAAGAUGAGCAUGCGUCCCAUUAGCUAGUUGGUAAGGUAACGGCUUACCAAGGCUACGAUGGGUAGGGGUCCUGAGAGGGAGAUCCCCCACACUGGUACUGAGACACGGACCAGACUCCUACGGGAGGCAGCAGUGAGGAAUAUUGGUCAAUGGGCGCAAGCCUGAACCAGCCAUGCCGCGUGCAGGAUGACGGUCCUAUGGAUUGUAAACUGCUUUUGUACGGGAAGAAACCCUCCUACGUGUAGGAGCUUGACGGUACCGUAAGAAUAAGGAUCGGCUAACUCCGUGCCAGCAGCCGCGGUAAUACGGAGGAUCCAAGCGUUAUCCGGAAUCAUUGGGUUUAAAGGGUCUGUAGGCGGUCUUGUAAGUCAGUGGUGAAAGCCCAUCGCUCAACGGUGGAACGGCCAUUGAUACUGCUGGACUUGAAUUAUUGGGAAGCAACUAGAAUAUGUAGUGUAGCGGUGAAAUGCUUAGAGAUUACAUGGAAUACCAAUUGCGAAGGCAGGUUGCUACCAAUGGAUUGACGCUGAUGGACGAAAGCGUGGGUAGCGAACAGGAUUAGAUACCCUGGUAGUCCACGCCGUAAACGAUGGAUACUAGCUGUUGGGCGCAAGUUCAGUGGCUAAGCGAAAGUGAUAAGUAUCCCACCUGGGGAGUACGAACGCAAGUUUGAAACUCAAAGGAAUUGACGGGGGCCCGCACAAGCGGUGGAGCAUGUGGUUUAAUUCGAUGAUACGCGAGGAACCUUACCAAGGCUUAAAUGCAGACUGACCGGUUUGGAAACAGACCUUUCGCAAGACGGUCUAC
Molecule: ribosomal RNA, 980 nt
Filed under: Flavobacterium anhuiense
Lineage: Bacteria; Pseudomonadati; Bacteroidota; Flavobacteriia; Flavobacteriales; Flavobacteriaceae
Description: bacterial SSU rRNA
Rfam family: Bacterial small subunit ribosomal RNA
Source: RNAcentral